CCCACCACUGUACCUGCCCUGCAAAGCAGUGACUAGUACAGUCCAGAGGUGAGCUGACAGGAAACACCAGCUUAGGAAACAGUUAUUCACCUUGGGGGUGACUUUGUGCCAAAGCCUGGGAACUGGC
RNAcentral lists this small nucleolar RNA (127 nucleotides) under Eurypyga helias (sunbittern). RNAcentral's name for it is "Small nucleolar RNA SNORA65". It matches the Rfam family "Small nucleolar RNA SNORA65". From Rfam's summary of the family: U65 belongs to the H/ACA class of snoRNAs which are thought to guide the sites of modification of uridines to pseudouridines. The record is from Rfam by way of RNAcentral. Lineage: Eukaryota; Metazoa; Chordata; Aves; Eurypygiformes; Eurypygidae.